GCCAGGUGUGGUGGUGCACACCUGUAGUCCCAGUUACUCGAGAGACUGAGGCAGGAGGAUCACUUGAGCUCAGGAGCUUGAGGCUGCAGUGAGCUAGGAUCGCACCACUGCACUCCAGCCUGGGUGACAGAGUGAGACCCUGUCUCUA
This is a non-coding RNA of Homo sapiens (human), 148 nucleotides long. It matches the Rfam family "Metazoan signal recognition particle RNA". Rfam says of the family: The signal recognition particle (SRP) is a universally conserved ribonucleoprotein. It is involved in the co-translational targeting of proteins to membranes. The record is from Rfam. NCBI's taxonomy places the organism in Eukaryota, Metazoa, Chordata, Mammalia, Primates, Hominidae.